AUACGGAGGGUGCAAGCGUUAAUCGGAAUUACUGGGCGUAAAGCGUACGUAGGCGGUUCGUUAAGUUAGAUGUGAAAGCCCCGGGCUUAACCUGGGAACUGCAUUUAAAACUGGCGGACUAGAGUUGAGUAGAGGGGAGUGGAAUUUCAGGUGUAGCGGUGAAAUGCGUAGAGAUCUGAAGGAACACCAGUGGCGAAGGCGACUCCCUGGACUCGAACUGACGCUGAGGUACGAAAGCGUGGGUAGCAAACGGGAUUAGAAACCCUGUAGUCC
This 273-nucleotide ribosomal RNA is filed under the name uncultured bacterium. RNAcentral's name for it is "partial 16S ribosomal RNA". It matches the Rfam family "Bacterial small subunit ribosomal RNA", at positions 523 to 796 of the family's 1533-position model. The record is from RNAcentral.